This 537-nucleotide ribosomal RNA is filed under the name Tropidischia sp. MCJ-2002. RNAcentral's name for it is "partial 16S ribosomal RNA". It matches the Rfam family "Bacterial large subunit ribosomal RNA", at positions 1805 to 2607 of the family's 2925-position model. The record is from RNAcentral. Lineage: Eukaryota; Metazoa; Arthropoda; Insecta; Orthoptera; Rhaphidophoridae.
UAUCAAAAACAUGUCUUUUUGAGAAUAAUAUAAAGUCUGGCCUGCCCACUGAUUUUAUAAUUUAAGGGCCGCAGUAUUUUGACUGUGCAAAGGUAGCAUAAUCAUUUGUCCUUUAAUUGGGGACUAGAAUGAAUGGUUUUACGAAGUAUUGACUGUCUCAAGAAUAAUUUUAUAGAAUUUAACUUUUGAGUUAAAAGGCUUAAAUGAUAUUAGAGGACGAGAAGACCCUAUAGAGCUUUAUAAUUUAUUUAUGAAUUUUAUUUGGAAAUAUAUUUUAGAAUUUAUAAUAUAAAUUAUUUUAUUGGGGUGAUAUGAAGAUUUAAAGAACUCUUUAUUAGAUAAACCAUUAAUAUAUGAAUAAUUGAUCCAUUAAUAAUGAUUAUAAGAUUAAGUUACCUUAGGGAUAACAGCGUAAUUUUUUUUGAGAGUUCAAAUCGACAAAAAAGAUUGCGACCUCGAUGUUGGAUUAAGGGAAAUAAUUAGGUGUAGAAGUUUAAUUUAUAGGUCUGUUCGACCUUUGAAUCCUUACAUGAUCUG